This 506-nucleotide ribosomal RNA is filed under the name uncultured bacterium. Its description in RNAcentral is "partial 16S ribosomal RNA". It matches the Rfam family "Bacterial small subunit ribosomal RNA", at positions 29 to 523 of the family's 1533-position model. The record is from RNAcentral.
AGUGAACGCUGGCGGUAGGCCUAACACAUGCAAGUCGAACGGCAGCACAGAGGAGCUUGCUCCUUGGGUGGCGAGUGGCGGACGGGUGAGGAAUACAUCGGAAUCUACUCUGUCGUGGGGGAUAACGUAGGGAAACUUACGCUAAUACCGCAUACGACCUACGGGUGAAAGCAGGGGAUCUUCGGACCUUGCGCGAUUGACUGAGCCGAUGUCGAAUUAGCUAGUUGGCGGGGUAAAGGCCCACCAAGGCGACGAUCCGUAGCUGGUCUGAGAGGAUGAUCAGCCACACUGGAACUGAGACACGGUCCAGACUCCUACGGGAGGCAGCAGUGGGGAAUAUUGGACAAUGGGCGCAAGCCUGAUCCAGCCAUACCGCGUGGGUGAAGAAGGCCUUCGGGUUGUAAAGCCCUUUUGUUGGGAAAGAAAUCCAUCUGGUUAAUACCCGGGUGGGAUGACGGUACCCAAAGAAUAAGCACCGGCUAACUUCGUGCCAGCAGCCGCGGUAA